GCUAACAUUGAAUAUUUGAAUCACGUUAAUUUACUAAUGAUGCUCUUUUCUGUUUUAAUAGCGGACAGUAAGGGAUCUACACAUUAAUGCUGGCACAACGUCCCCACAACACCUGUGUACUGUCCGCUGGUCAGUCAGCUGAGAGGAAGGUACACAGAUGGAGAGUGGCGCAUGGCAGAAUUUGAAAAUGCAGCUGCAAAUCGGUGUUGGACUGAAAGAGAUGCAUAAGUCGUCAGACACCCCAGACGGAGCAAAGGAACGGAACAUACAAAAGAGAAGACUGCGUCGCCAGAGACGGGUCCUACUAACUGCUCAGCUGAAGGUUGGCAGUGGAGCAUAAGCAUGUAUCCAGACCGAAGGUUGGCAACUGAGCAUGUAUCCUAACGGUAACCAGUCUGACAAUGGAGGCCGGCCAGGCCGGGCAGUGAGAUACAUGGAACAGGGCAUGGACGUCGAAGGACCGAGACAUCAGGCGUGCUUCUUCCUUCCAGAGAUCCUGACCACCGUGAAUGAUCAUCCUCCUGACAUGGCAACGGGAACAGAC
Molecule: long non-coding RNA, 544 nt
Organism: Oncorhynchus tshawytscha (Chinook salmon)
Lineage: Eukaryota; Metazoa; Chordata; Actinopteri; Salmoniformes; Salmonidae
Exons: 5
Source: RefSeq, a predicted model, not a curated record